This 393-nucleotide ribosomal RNA is filed under the name uncultured bacterium. Its description in RNAcentral is "partial 16S ribosomal RNA". It matches the Rfam family "Bacterial small subunit ribosomal RNA", at positions 523 to 918 of the family's 1533-position model. The record is from RNAcentral.
AUACGGAGGAUGCAAGCGUUAUCCGGAUUUAUUGGGUUUAAAGGGUGCGUAGGCGGGACUGUAAGUCAGGGGUGAAAUACUGCAGCUUAACUGUAGCAUUGCCUUUGAAACUGCCGUUCUUGAGUACAGUUGAGGUAAGCGGAAUGUGGUGUGUAGCGGUGAAAUGCAUAGAUAUACCACAGAACGCCGAUUGCGAAGGCAGCUUACUAAGCUGUUACUGACGCUGAGGCACGAAAGCGUGGGGAUCAAACAGGAUUAGAUACCCUGGUAGUCCACGCUGUAAACGAUGAUUACUGGUUGUUAGCGAUAUAUAGCUAGUGACUGAGCGAAAGCAUUAAGUAAUCCACCUGGGGAGUACGUCGGCAACGAUGAAACUCAAAUGAAUUGACGGGG